CCUACGGGAGGCAGCAGUAGGGAAUUUUGCGCAAUGCGGGAAACACUGAAGCAGCGACGCCGCGUGAAUGAUGAAGGUUUUCGGAUUGUAAACUCCUUUUGUUAGGGAAGAUAAUGACGGUAUCUAACGAAUAAGCACCGGCUAACGCCGUGCCAGCAGCCGCGGUAAUACGGAGGGUGCAAGCGUUCCGCGGAAUAACUGGGCGUAAAGAGCACGUAGGCGGGAUAGCAAGUCAGAUGUGAAAGCCUAUGGCUUAACCAUAGAACUGCAUUUGAAACUGUUAUUCUAGAGUAUGGGAGAGGUAGGUGGAAUUCCUGGUGUAGGGGUAAAAUCCGUAGAGAUCAAGAGGAAUACUCAUAGCGAAGGCGACCAGCUAGAACAUAACUGACGCUGAGGCGCGAAAGCGUGGGGAGCAAACAGGAUUAGAUACCCCUGUAGUC
RNAcentral lists this ribosomal RNA (440 nucleotides) under uncultured bacterium. Its description in RNAcentral is "partial 16S ribosomal RNA". It matches the Rfam family "Bacterial small subunit ribosomal RNA", at positions 338 to 795 of the family's 1533-position model. The record is from RNAcentral.